Long non-coding RNA from Solanum dulcamara, 2903 nucleotides. RefSeq lists it as uncharacterized. The record is from RefSeq and is a predicted model, not a curated record. The transcript is spliced from 5 exons. Lineage: Eukaryota; Viridiplantae; Streptophyta; Magnoliopsida; Solanales; Solanaceae.
AGAUAAGGAUCACUUUUUCAUAUUGGAACUAUUAUAUUAUACUAAAGAAUUGGGAUAUGCAACUGUUGGAGGGUUUUAUUACCGAGAUUUAGUGACUAAAGAAUUCGACCAAAUUAAAUCUGACCAACAUCUACUAUACCUUAUUAAAGACUUAAAACAUGAGGACACUUUUGAAGUAUAUUUGUUUGUCAUGUAUUGAACGAACCAGUAGUUGAUACUGAGGGACCAGCUGACUAUCUAACUAAUGAUAGUAUUGGUGUUGGUGAGGUUGUUAACCUAGGUGAAGAGAAUGAUGUUGAUUCUAGUAACCUAGAAGAUGUUGAUGUAGAUUGUGAGUUAUCAGAUUUCUGGAGUAGUGAUUCAGAUCUAGGAGAUAUACCUCCAGAAGAUGGCUCAGAUGUUGAUGAGGAGUUGAGAGUUUUUAGACAAGAAAGAAGAAAUAAAAAACUGGAAAAAAAGGCUGUUGAACCUGAAGAAAUACCAGUUGGAGAGGCCGAUGGUGUUGAUAGGGGUUUUGAUGAUAUUGGAAAAGAUAAAACUAACAAAUAUGCAGGAAAAUUAGGUGGAGAUGAGGAAUAUCUUGAUAGCUCUGACUGUUGGAGUGAUGAUAGUGAGGAACAACUUGAAAUGGACGCUGUUAGGGGAGUAGAUCUACCUUCUAGAAGGAGAAGCAAAAAAGUAAGAUAUGGUGAAGAUUGUGAGGUGUCAAUAUUUGAGCUUGGGAUGGUCUUUGAGGGUGCAAAUCAGUUUAGGAAGGCAAUUUCAGAUUAUGUUGUAGAGUAUAGGAGGCAGUUAAAGUUGAGACCUAAUGAAAGGCAUAGAGUGAGGGUAAAGUGCAAAAAAUACAAGUGUAAGUGGCUGUUAUAUGCUUCUAUUGACAGGGAUUCAGGUGAUUUCAUUGUAAAGCACUAUCAUCUUGUUCACAAGUGUAUUCCAUUAAACAAGAACAAGUUGUGUAAUUCAAAGUUGAUAGCUAAAAAAUUUAAGGAUAGAAUUGUUUCUCAACCAUAUAUAAGAAUCUGGGAAAUUCAAGAUUUGGUAAGAAAUUAGUUGGGUCUUUAUGCUGGUAAGACUGUGUGUUACAGGGCUAAACAGAAGAUCAUGAAGAAAAAUAUGGGUGAUUGGAAUAUGAAAUUUGCAAGAUUAUAUGACUAUGCAGACAUGAUCAAGCAAAUCAAUCCUGAAAGCUCUUAUUGGGUAAAAAUUGAUAAGGAAACUGAAAAAGAACCUUUUGUUUAUUUUUAUGUGUUCUUUCAUGCAUUUAAGCAAGGAUGGUUGGAGGGGUGUAGGAAUAUAAUUGGUUUUGAUGGUUGUUUUCUCAAAGGAGCUUAUAAAGGUGAGUUAUUAGUUGUUGUUGAAAAGAAUGUGAACAAUCAAAUGUAUUCCGUUGCUUAGGCAGUUGUGGAUACAGAAAUAAAACAUAGUUGAAGUUGGUUCAUAAGGUAUUUGAUUGCUAAUCUGAAUUUAAGAACUGGUGAAGGUUUGACUGUAAUGUCAGGCAUGCAAAAGGGACCUGUUCAUGUCUUGAUGGAGUUGUUACCAAAUGUUGAGCAAAGGAUGUGUGCUAGACAUAUAUGGAGUAAGUGGCAUGUGAAUUGGAAAGGAGAAGAAAGAAGAAAAUAAUUCUGGAAAUGCUCAAAGUGCAGCUUUGAAGUCAAGUUUAGAGAGAGUUCAUGCCAUGUCUAAACUAGGUUGUGGAUGUUGAUAGGUAUUCCUGGCCCUCAUGCUGUUUGUGCUUAUUAUUACUUGAAUCAAGAUCCUGAUCAACAUGUAAAGCACUGGUAUAGAAAAGAAACAUUUCUCAAGGCUUACAACCAUAUCAUCCAACCUAUUCCUAAUAUGAAGAUGUGGCCUAACACUACAAAUCCAUCAAUAGAGCCUCCAAAAUCAAGAAAAAAGCCAGGCAGAUAUAGAAAGAACAGAAGAAAGAGAAAAGAUGAGCCAAAAAAAUUGAUAAAAUUUCAAAAAAAAGAGUGAAGAUGACCUGUUUCAUAUGCAAGAAAUUGGGCCAUAACAGAUCUGUCUGUACAGCAAUAUAAGGCAAGGGGAGCACUUCUCAGCCAAGUUCUAUCUAUGGUGACACCACAGCUCCACCAAAAGAUACUCAAACAGAACUGUACCAAGAGCUCCUCAAAAAAAUAUGCAAGUUGGGUUAGGAAGAGGAUUGGAGAGAAAAAAAGCUAAUGCAAGAGGUGCCCCAUUUGUUAGUGAGAGAGAUGAUUCUUCUAGUCACAAGAGACCAUAAAGCUCUGCCUUAUUUGCUGCUGUUACUGGAGGAAACAAAAGGCCUAUAACUGAUUUUGGUGUCUACUCUAAUCCUAUAACUGGGACUCAAGUGCUUAAUGUAUGCUCAUUUAUGGCCGUAUGUUCUUAUAGAAGAUAUAAGUACUUUGUCUAUUGUCUUAGAAUUUCCUCUAUUACAACCUGGUACAUCAAGUGAGAGGGUUCUACAUAGGCCAAUAAAUUUGAAGAGUGUUUCACCAAUCAUUAUAGAUAUUGGUUUUAAACCAUCUAAAAUGGAAUGGAAAAGAUGCAGUUAGCACCUCACAGUUGCAACAAAUGAGAGAAAACAACAAAAACAAAUCUUCUUUAUCGGUUGGAACCUCCAAGAAGUAGUUCAUCCGGAAAGCUAUUAAGAUUUUGGGCUAUGUUAAAGGGAUGCUAAAAAGGGUCGUUGAACAAUUUACUCUUACUUUAGUUUAUUUUUGAACAACUUAUGUUAUGUAUUUCUGAACAACUAGUGUCAGGUAUUUUGAACAACUUGUGUUUAAGAAUGCAAUGCCUUUAUGAUUUGUUGUAUCUGUGGUUUUGAACUUAAUUUUGAAAUAUAUGCAACAGUGUAUUUGAAUAAUUUGUGUUAAAGGAGCAGUGUGUUAAGGCAGCAAUGUCCUUCCUUUCUUCAA